RNAcentral lists this ribosomal RNA (744 nucleotides) under uncultured bacterium. Its description in RNAcentral is "bacterial SSU rRNA". It matches the Rfam family "Bacterial small subunit ribosomal RNA", at positions 8 to 796 of the family's 1533-position model. The record is from RNAcentral.
AGAGUUUGAUCAUGGCUCAGAACGAACGCUGGCGGCAGGCUUAACACAUGCAAGUCGAGCGCAUGUCUUCGGACAUGAGCGGCAGACGGGUGAGUAACGCGUGGGAACGUACCCUUCAGUUCGGAAUAACCCAGGGAAACUUGGGCUAAUACCGGAUACGUCCGUAAGGAGAAAGGUUUACUGCUGAAGGAUCGGCCCGCGUCGGAUUAGCUAGUUGGUGAGGUAACGGCCCACCAAGGCAACGAUCCGUAGCUGGUCUGAGAGGAUGAUCAGCCACACUGGGACUGAGACACGGCCCAGACUCCUACGGGAGGCAGCAGUGGGGAAUAUUGGACAAUGGGCGCAAGCCUGAUCCAGCCAUGCCGCGUGAGUGAAGAAGGCCCUAGGGUUGUAAAGCUCUUUCAGCGGGGACGAUAAUGACGGUACCCGCAGAAGAAGCCCCGGCUAACUUCGUGCCAGCAGCCGCGGUAAUACGAAGGGGGCUAGCGUUGUUCGGAAUUACUGGGCGUAAAGCGCGCGUAGGCGGAUAUUUAAGUCAGGGGUGAAAUCCCAGGGCUCAACCCUGGAACUGCCUUUGAUACUGGAUGUCUGGAGUUCGGGAGAGGUGAGUGGAAUUCCGAGUGUAGAGGUGAAAUUCGUAGAUAUUCGGAGGAACACCAGAAGCGAAGGCGGCUCACUGGCCCGAUACUGACGCUGAGGCGCGAAAGCGUGGGGAGCAAACAGGAUUAGAUACCCUAGUAGUCC